This 440-nucleotide ribosomal RNA is filed under the name uncultured bacterium. RNAcentral describes it as "bacterial SSU rRNA". It matches the Rfam family "Bacterial small subunit ribosomal RNA", at positions 338 to 795 of the family's 1533-position model. The record is from RNAcentral.
CCUACGGGAUGCACCAGUGGGGAAUCUUGCGCAAUGGGCGAAAGCCUGACGCAGCCAUGCCGCGUGAAUGAUGAAGGUCUUAGGAUUGUAAAAUUCUUUCACCGGGGACGAUAAUGACGGUACCCGGAGAAGAAGCCCCGGCUAACUUCGUGCCAGCAGCCGCGGUAAUACGAAGGGGGCUAGCGUUGCUCGGAAUUACUGGGCGUAAAGGGAGCGUAGGCGGACAUUUAAGUCAGGGGUGAAAUCCCGGGGCCCAACCUCGGAAUUGCCUUUGAUACUGGGUGUCUUGAGUAUGAGAGAGGUGUGUGGAACUCCGAGUGUAGAGGUGAAAUUCGUAGAUAUUUGGAAGAACAUCAGUGGUGAAGGCGACACACUGGCUCAUUACUGACGCUGAGGCUCGAAAGCGUGGGGAGCAAACAGGAUUAGAUACCCCGGUAGUC